GACGAACGCUGGCGGCGUGCUUAACACAUGCAAGUCGAGCGGUAAGGCCCUUCGGGUACACGAGCGGCGAACGGGUGAGUAACACGUGGGUGACCUGCCCUCCACUUCGGGAUAAGCCUGGGAAACUGGGUCUAAUACCGGAUAGGACCUCUGGAUGCAUGUCUGGGGGUGGAAAGUUUUGGUCGGUGGGGAUGGGCCCGCGGUCUAUCAGCUUGUUGGUGGGGUGAUGGCCUACCAAGGCGACGACGGAUAGCCGGCCUGAGAGGGUGAUCGGCCACACUGGGACUGAGACACGGCCCAGACUCCUACGGGAGGCAGCAGGUGGGGAAUCUUGCGCAAUGGGCGGAAGCCUGACGCAGCAACGCCGCGUGGGGAUGAC
Molecule: ribosomal RNA, 379 nt
Filed under: uncultured bacterium
Lineage: Bacteria
Description: bacterial SSU rRNA
Rfam family: Bacterial small subunit ribosomal RNA
Source: RNAcentral